RNAcentral lists this ribosomal RNA (458 nucleotides) under uncultured bacterium. Its description in RNAcentral is "bacterial SSU rRNA". It matches the Rfam family "Bacterial small subunit ribosomal RNA", at positions 340 to 786 of the family's 1533-position model. The record is from RNAcentral.
UACGGGAGGCAGCAGUGGGGAAUAUUGCACAAUGGGCGAAAGCCUGAUGCAGCUAUGCCGCGUGUAUGAAGAAGGCCUUAGGGUUGUAAAGUACUUUCAUCGGGGAGGAAAAAACAAAACUAAUAAUUUUAUUUCUUGACGUUACCCGAAAAAGAAGCACCGGCUAACUCCGUGCCAGCAGCCGCGGUAAUACGGAGGGUGCUAGCGUUAAUCAGAAUUACUGGGCGUAAAGAGCACGUAGGUGGUUUUUUUUAAGUCAGAUGUGAAAUCCCUGGGCUUAACCCUAGGAACUGCAUUUUGAAACUGAAAUACUAGAGUAUCGUAGAGGGAGGUAGAAUUCUAGGUGUAGCGGUGAAAUGCGUAGAUAUCUGGAGGAAUACCUGUGGCGAAAGCGGCCUCCUAAACGAAUACUGACACUGAGGUGCGAAAGCGUGGGGAGCAAACAGGGAUUAGAUACC